GACGAACGCUGGCGGCGUGCUUAACACAUGCAAGUCGAACGGCAAGGCCCUGCUUUUGUGGGGUGCUCGAGUGGCGAACGGGUGAGUAACACGUGAGUAACCUGCCCUUGUCUUUGGGGUAACUUCAGGAAACUGGGGCUACUACCGUAUAGCAGCUCCUGCUGCAUGGUGGGGGUUGGAAAGUCUCGGCGGGUGGGGAUGGACGCGCGGCUUAUCAGCUUGUUGGUGGGGUAGUGGCUUACCAAGGCUUUGACGGGUAGCCGGCUUGAGAGGGUGACCGGGCACAAUGGGACUGAGGGAGGGAGCAGAGUGCAACGGGGGGCAACAGUGGGGAGUAUUGCCCAGUGGGCGCGAGUGUGUGAAGGAGGCGCCGCGUGCGGGAUGCCGGCCUGCGGGUUGAGAACCGCUUUCGCCUGUGACGCAGCGGGAGUGACGGUAAUGAGUAAAGAAGCACCGGCUAACUACGUG
RNAcentral lists this ribosomal RNA (468 nucleotides) under uncultured bacterium. RNAcentral describes it as "partial 16S ribosomal RNA". It matches the Rfam family "Bacterial small subunit ribosomal RNA", at positions 28 to 507 of the family's 1533-position model. The record is from RNAcentral.